UUAUGAGAGUUUGAUCCUGGCUCAGGACGAACGCUGGCGGCGUGCCUAAUACAUGCAAGUCGAACGCUUCUUUUUCCACCGGAGCUUGCUCCACCGGAAAAAGAGGAGUGGCGAACGGGUGAGUAACACGUGGGUAACCUGCCCAUCAGAAGGGGAUAACACUUGGAAACAGGUGCUAAUACCGUAUAACAAUCAAAACCGCAUGGUUUUGAUUUGAAAGGCGCUUUCGGGUGUCGCUGAUGGAUGGACCCGCGGUGCAUUAGCUAGUUGGUGAGGUAACGGCUCACCAAGGCCACGAUGCAUAGCCGACCUGAGAGGGUGAUCGGCCACAUUGGGACUGAGACACGGCCCAAACUCCUACGGGAGGCAGCAGUAGGGAAUCUUCGGCAAUGGACGAAAGUCUGACCGAGCAACGCCGCGUGAGUGAAGAAGGUUUUCGGAUCGUAAAACUCUGUUGUUAGAGAAGAACAAGGAUGAGAGUAACUGUUCAUCCCUUGACGGUAUCUAACCAGAAAGCCACGGCUAACUACGUGCCAGCAGCCGCGGUAAUACGUAGGUGGCAAGCGUUGUCCGGAUUUAUUGGGCGUAAAGCGAGCGCAGGCGGUUUAUUCAGGCAAUCAGCUGAUCUAUGGGGGAAACGAAGCAGGAAAAUCAAAACUGGGAGACUUGAGUGCAGAAGAGGAGAGUGGAAUUCCAUGUGUAGCGGUGAAAUGCGUAGAUAUAUGGAGGAACACCAGUGGCGAAGGCGGCUCUCUGGUCUGUAACUGACGCUGAGGCUCGAAAGCGUGGGGAGCAAACAGGAUUAGAUACCCUGGUAGUCCACGCCGUAAACGAUGAGUGCUAAGUGUUGGAGGGUUUCCGCCCUUCAGUGCUGCAGCUAACGCAUUAAGCACUCCGCCUGGGGAGUACGACCGCAAGGUUGAAACUCAAAGGAAUUGACGGGGGCCCGCACAAGCGGUGGAGCAUGUGGUUUAAUUCGAAGCAACGCGAAGAACCUUACCAGGUCUUGACAUCCUUUGACCACUCUAGAGAUAGAGCUUCCCCUUCGGGGGCAAAGUGACAGGUGGUGCAUGGUUGUCGUCAGCUCGUGUCGUGAGAUGUUGGGUUAAGUCCCGCAACGAGCGCAACCCUUAUUGUUAGUUGCCAUCAUUCAGUUGGGCACUCUAGCAAGACUGCCGGUGACAAACCGGAGGAAGGUGGGGAUGACGUCAAAUCAUCAUGCCCCUUAUGACCUGGGCUACACACGUGCUACAAUGGGAAGUACAACGAGUUGCGAAGUCGCGAGGCUAAGCUAAUCUCUUAAAGCUUCUCUCAGUUCGGAUUGCAGGCUGCAACUCGCCUGCAUGAAGCCGGAAUCGCUAGUAAUCGCGGAUCAGCACGCCGCGGUGAAUACGUUCCCGGGCCUUGUACACACCGCCCGUCACACCACGAGAGUUUGUAACACCCGAAGUCGGUGAGGUAACCUUUUGGAGCCAGCCGCCUAAGGUGGGAUAGAUGAUUGGGGUGAAGUCGUAACAAGGUAGCCGUAUCGGAAGGUGCGGCUGGAUCACCUCCUUU
This 1557-nucleotide ribosomal RNA is filed under the name Enterococcus faecium. Its description in RNAcentral is "bacterial SSU rRNA". It matches the Rfam family "Bacterial small subunit ribosomal RNA". Lineage: Bacteria; Bacillati; Bacillota; Bacilli; Lactobacillales; Enterococcaceae. The record is from RNAcentral.